GGAGGCAAAUAGGGGAGGAGACUGGUGGUGCAAUGAAGGGUAGUGUUUUUGCACCCCACAACCUCCCACAAAACACAAACACAUACACUGACACUGACGCCAUUUGGACAUUGGGGAGCGAUUUCGUUCUCCCGUGCGCUUGCUGACACUCUCUUUCUCUCUCUCUCUCUCUCUCUCUCUCUCUCUCUCUCUCUCUCUCUCUCUCUCUCUCUCUCUCUCUCUCUCUAUCUCACUCUAGCCGUGUUUUGUUUUGUCCAUUAGAAAUCGCAGCAAGCCGUGCACGAUCCAAACAGAAGAGCGGUGUGGAGUUUCGCGGGAUGAUCGUAGGGGUGUGGGUGAGGGAGACGCGUUUACAGUCGCUUUUGAAAACCCACUGGCUUUGGAGCGAAAUCCACAAGCGCGGGCACACACACACACACACAUAAACGUGUAAAACGGUGUUCAAUUUCUUGGUGUUGCGCUACACCCCGCACACGUUCUCUUCCUAGACGUCCUCUCACCAUCCCUACUUGUGCAAAAUGGAAUAGUUAUAAUAGAAGAUGACGCUCUACACUAACACACCCCGAACGGGUGCAAAAACGGAAGAAGAUGCAUCGACAGUGGGAGAGGGCUUCCCAGAGGAAAGGAAGGAGGAUUGUUUUUACACGCAUUUCGAACGAGCGAAGAGCUCCCCUCAUGUUACUACCGUUUCAACGUUCAAGGGCAGCACAGCGUAGGUAGGUGUAGAGGUUUAGGAAUUGCAUCCAGCAAUGGGAGAAAAGAGAUGCCAAUUCCGGGCGAAUUUGUUUGAAAAUUCGUGUGUUUUUUUACAUCCCUCACACCGCAACGGAGAAAGAUUUAGUUCAUCGUGACGUUAUCCAGAUUUUGGGGCCGCAAGAAAGCGCCGGAGGUUAGCAAAACAGAUGAUCGAUUUCACAGCAUCGAUCAUACAGUAGGCGAGUGACUGAGGCGUUGGCGUUAAAGCAGAUCAGGCACACGGGGCGCAAUGGACAACCAAAGCGGGAGCUUAUAAGGUGAACAAAUAAUGUGAAAAUCCAUCCCAUCACAGACCCAUUGAGGUGCUGUUGCCGGUGGCAAAUAGAGUGGUAUAACAAUGAUUGAUGGAAGGCGAUGGCCUCCACACUACCGUUUACAAAGAUGGACAUCGAGAAGUAUUGACCCAAAUGAGGGAUUAUAAUGAUUUUGGUGGGUUGAUCGUGUGUGGCUACUCUAGUUAACAUAAUAAUGCAGCAGGAACAAAAUAGAAUCAAUGUGUUCCACUUUCUUAUUUUCUGCUUUAAUAUCCAUGAAACUAGCUUUAACAAAAACAACCUUUUUCUAAGUACAGCAUCUCCAGCAACUGCCACAAAUCACACAGCUCGACGCAAAACAGUGUCAACAUCUCUAGUGAGUCAUAUGUCACGUUCGAUCACCAGUUUCGUUUCCAGCGUACGCAAAACAGACCGGACAACACCCGCUUGGCUAUAAAUUGAGUCAUGUUAAAGUCAUGCCUAAUGUAUCGUCGUGUAAGAUGGAUUCACCUCUCUGGUAUUGAAGCACGGUCGUAGCGUUGCCGCUCACGCGAGCCACCGGCGGGUGUGGUGCUUGACUACAGGUUUUUGAUGCGCAAAAUGUAAUAAACACUGCAGUUGCAUCUUUCACGCACCGGGCGGAAGGUGCACCGUGCACCGGCGGUUUAACAGACAGGUAAUCCCGUUUGAUAGACACACACACACACACAGCGCUAGGGUGCAUAUACACGAAUGAGGAUUUACACUAGGGAACGAGUGUUUCAUUCGCUGGAGCGUACCAAUUGAAUUUCUUUACUACUAAUUCGUUUUGUUAUUUUUUUGUGGAAAAAUAUCAUAAAUUCAAGAAUUUAAAGUAUUUUUAAAAGGAAAAUAAAUAUGCUUUGUAAACUUUA
Molecule: long non-coding RNA, 1903 nt
Organism: Anopheles gambiae (African malaria mosquito)
Lineage: Eukaryota; Metazoa; Arthropoda; Insecta; Diptera; Culicidae
Exons: 2
Source: RefSeq, a predicted model, not a curated record